CGGAAUACCUCAGCUGAUCGCACGAUUUUGCACCGGCGACACAUCUUUCAAGUGUCUGCCUUAUUGACUGUUGAUGGUAGUUAAUGCGACUACCAUGGUUGUAACGGGUAACGGAGAAUAAGGGUUCGACUCCGGAGAGGGAGCCUGAGAAACGGCUACCACAUCCAAGGAAGGCGCAAGCGCGUAAAUUACCCAAUCUCGGAACGAGGAGGUAAUGACCAAAAAUAACCAUACCGUUCUCAAUGAGGCCCGUUAUCGAAAUGAAUACAAUCCAAACCCUUUAACGAGGAUCUAUCAAAGGGUAUUCUGGUGCCAGCAGCCGCGGUAAUUUAGCUCUGAAGGUGUAUACCACCGUUGUUGCGUUUAAAAC
RNAcentral lists this ribosomal RNA (370 nucleotides) under Nematoda sp. Its description in RNAcentral is "bacterial SSU rRNA". It matches the Rfam family "Eukaryotic small subunit ribosomal RNA", at positions 252 to 625 of the family's 1831-position model. The record is from RNAcentral. Lineage: Eukaryota; Metazoa; Nematoda.